GUAGUAACAACAGCAGCAGUAAUAGUAACAGCAGCAGUAGUAGUAACAGCAGUAGUAGUAGUAACAGCAGCAGUAGUAGUAGCAGUAGUAGCAGUAGUAACAGUAGUAGCAGGAGUAACAUCGGCAGUAGUAGUAGUAGUAACAGCAGCAGUAGUAGUAACAGUAGUAGCAGUAGUAACAGCAGCAGCAGUAGUAGUAGUAACAGCAGUAGUAGUAGUAACUUUAGUAACAGUAGCAGCAGUAAUAGUAACAGCAGCAGCAGUAGUAGUAACAGCAGUAGCAGCAGUAGUAGUAACAUUAGCAGCAGUAGUAGUAACAGCAGCAUUAUUCGUGGUAACAGCAGCAGCAUCAGUAGUAACAGCAGCAGCGGCAGUCGUAGUAACAGCAGCAGCAGUAGUAGUAACAGCAGCAGCAGCAGUAGUAACAUUAGCAGCAGUAGUAGUAACAGCAGCAUUAUUCGUGGUAACAGCAGCAGCAUCAGUAGUAACAGCAGCAGCAGCAGUAAUAGUAACAGCAACAGCAGCAGCAGUAGUAGUAACAGCAGCAGCAGAAGAAGUAACAGCAGCAGUAGUCGUAGUAACAGCAGCAGCAGCAGUAGUAGUAGCACCAGCAGCAGCAGUAGUAGCAGCAGUUGUAGUAGCAGCAGCAGUAGCAGCAGCAGUAGCAACAGCAGUAGCAGCAGCAGUAGUAGUAGAAAUAGCAGUAGUAGUAGAAGUAACAGUAGGAGCAGUAGAAGUAACAGUAGGAGCAGAAGUAGCAGUAGUAGUAACAGCAGCAGCAGUAGAAGUAACAGUAGGAGCAGUAGUAGCAGCAGCAGUAGUAGUAGCAGCAGCAGCAGUAGUAGUAGCAGCAGCAGCAGUAAUAGUAACAACAGCAGCAAUAGUAGUAGUAACAACAGUAGUAGCAGUAGUAACAGCAGUAGCAGUAGUAGUAGCAGCAGCAGCAGUAGUAGUAGUAACAGCAGCAGUAGUAGUAACAGCAGCAGCAGUAGUGGUAGUAACAGCAGCAGUAGUAGUAACAGCAGCAGUAGUAGUAACAGUAGUAGCAAUAGCAGUAGUACAGCAGUAGCAGCAGUAGUAGUAACAACAGCAGCAGUAAUAGUAACAGCAGCAGUAGUAGUAACAGCAGCAGCAGUAGUAGUAGUAACAGCAGCAGUAGUAGUAACAGUAGUAGCAGUAGUAACAGUAGUAGCAGUAGUAACAUCGGCAGUAGUAGUAGUAGUAACAGCAGCAGUAGUAGUAACAGUAGUAGCAGUAGUAACAGCAGCAGCAGUAGUAGUAGUAACAGCAGUAGUAGUAGUAACUUUAGUAACAGUAGCAGCAGUAAUAGUAACAGCAGCAGCAGUAAUAGUAACAGCAGCAGCGGCAGUAGUAGUAACAUUAGCAGCAGUAGUAGUAACAGCAGCAGCAGCAGCAGUAGUAGUAACAGCAGCAGCAGAAGAAGUAACAGCAGCAGUAGUCGUAGUAACA
RNAcentral lists this long non-coding RNA (1469 nucleotides) under Oncorhynchus kisutch (coho salmon). RNAcentral describes it as "lncRNA (ENSOKIG00005013321.1)". The record is from RNAcentral. Lineage: Eukaryota; Metazoa; Chordata; Actinopteri; Salmoniformes; Salmonidae.